ACGCUGGCGGCAUGCCUACACAUGCAAGUCGAACGGGAUCUUGACUUCGGUCAGGUGAGAGUGGCGGACGGGUGAGUAACACGUGGGAACCUGCCUUUGGUCGGGAUAACCGCGGGAAACUGCGGCUAAUACCGGAUACUCCCGAGAGGGGAAAGAUUUAUCGCCAGAAGAGCGGCCGAUGUUCGAUUAGCUAGUUGGUGGGGUAAAGGCUCACCAAGGCGACGAUCGAUAGCUGGUCUGAGAGGAUGAUCAGCCACACUGGAACUGAGACACGGUCCAGACUCCUACGGGAGACAGCAGUGGGGAAUUUUGGACAAUGGGGGCAACCCUGAUCCAGCCAUUCCGCGUGAGUGAAGAAGGCCUUCGGGUUGUAAAGCUCUUUCGGCAGGAACGAAACGGUCGUUGCUAAUACCAGCGGCUAAUGACGGUACCUGAAGAAGAAGCACCGGCUAACUACGUG
RNAcentral lists this ribosomal RNA (460 nucleotides) under uncultured bacterium. RNAcentral describes it as "bacterial SSU rRNA". It matches the Rfam family "Bacterial small subunit ribosomal RNA", at positions 33 to 507 of the family's 1533-position model. The record is from RNAcentral.